UGAGGAAUAUUGCACAAUGGGCGCAAGCCUGAUGCAGCAACGCCGCGUGCGGGACGAAGGCCUUCGGGUCGUAAACCGCUUUUCUGGGGAAAGAGCAAGGACGGUACCUCAGGAAUAAGUCUCGGCUAACUACGUGCCAGCAGCCGCGGUAAAACGUAGGAGGCGAGCGGUAUCCGGGUUUACUGGGCGUAAAGCGCACGCAGGCGGCUCUGUGAGUCGGACGUGAAAGCUCCCGGCUUAACCGGGAGAGGCCGUUCGAUACUGCGGGGCUUGAGGUAGGGAGAGGAAUGCGGAAUUCCCGGUGUAGUGGUGGAAUGCGUAGAUAUCGGGAGGAACGCCUGUGGCGAAAGCGGCAUUCUGGCCCUCACCUGACGCUGAGGUGCGAAAGCGUGGGUAGCAAACAG
Molecule: ribosomal RNA, 404 nt
Filed under: uncultured bacterium
Lineage: Bacteria
Description: bacterial SSU rRNA
Rfam family: Bacterial small subunit ribosomal RNA
Source: RNAcentral